GACGAACGCUGGCGGCGUGCUUAACACAUGCAAGUCGAACGGAAAGGCCCUGCUUUUGUGGGGUGCUCGAGUGGCGAACGGGUGAGUAACACGUGAGUAUCCUGCCCUUGACUUUGGGAUAACUUCAGGAAACUGGGGAUACUACCGGCUAGGAGCUCCUGCUGCAUGGUGGGGGUUGGAAAGUUUCGGCGGUUGGGGAUGGACUCGCGGCUUAUCAGCUUGUUGGUGGGGUAGUGGCCUACCAAGGCUUUGACGGGUAGCCGGCCUGAGAGGGUGACCGGCCACAUUGGGACUGAGAGACGGCCCAGACGCCUACGGUAGGCAGCAGUGGGGAAUAUUGCACAAUGGGCGGAAGCCUGAUGCAGCGACGCCGCGAGCGGGAAGACGGCCUUCGGGUGGUAAACCGCUUUCGCCUGUGACGAAGCGUGAGUGACGGUAAUGGGUAAAGAAGCACCGGCUAACUACGUG
This 468-nucleotide ribosomal RNA is filed under the name uncultured bacterium. RNAcentral describes it as "partial 16S ribosomal RNA". It matches the Rfam family "Bacterial small subunit ribosomal RNA", at positions 28 to 507 of the family's 1533-position model. The record is from RNAcentral.